AGAUGUGAGGGCGAUCUGGUUGCGACAUCUGUCACCCCAAUUGAUCACCAGGGUUGAUUCGGCUGAUCUGGCUGACUAGGCGGGUGUCCCCUUCCUCACUGCUCCAUGUGUGUCCCUCCAGAAGCUGCGCACUUGGUGGAAAAGGAUGACCAUCCCCCGUAGAGGAGGACCUGUCUUCUGUCAAGGGUAUACGAGUAGCUGCAUUCCCCUGCUAGAACCUCCAAACAAGCUCUCAAGAAACAGCACUUGCCUGGAAACAUUUUACUUAAAAAUCCUGCUUUGAGGAGGAAUAAGUAUGAAAUAAAUGGGUGACUUAAGUCUUCGAAGAAAAGAGUCUUCCGAACAGAUUG
This is an unclassified non-coding RNA of Piliocolobus tephrosceles (Ugandan red Colobus), 350 nucleotides long. Its record names the gene 7SK. It matches the Rfam family "7SK RNA". Rfam says of the family: 7SK was discovered as an abundant small nuclear RNA in the mid-70s but a possible function has only recently been suggested. Lineage: Eukaryota; Metazoa; Chordata; Mammalia; Primates; Cercopithecidae. The record is from Ensembl.